GACAGAGGGUGCAAGCGUUGUUCGGAAUUAUUGGGCGUAAAGCGCGCGUAGGCGGGUUUUUAAGUCGACUGUGAAAUGCCUUGGCUCAACCGAGGAAGUGCAUUCGAAACUGGCAACCUUGAGUCCCGGAGAGGGUGGUAGAAUUCCCAGUGUAGAGGUGAAAUUCGUAGAUAUUGGGAGGAAUACCGGUGGCGAAGGCGACCGCCUGGACGGAGACUGACGCUGAGGUGCGAGAGCGUGGGUAGCAAACAGG
This 253-nucleotide unclassified non-coding RNA is filed under the name uncultured Myxococcales bacterium. RNAcentral describes it as "contains 16S-23S intergenic spacer region". It matches the Rfam family "Bacterial small subunit ribosomal RNA", at positions 524 to 776 of the family's 1533-position model. The record is from RNAcentral. Lineage: Bacteria; Pseudomonadati; Myxococcota; Myxococcia; Myxococcales.